This 253-nucleotide ribosomal RNA is filed under the name uncultured bacterium. RNAcentral describes it as "partial 16S ribosomal RNA". It matches the Rfam family "Bacterial small subunit ribosomal RNA", at positions 524 to 776 of the family's 1533-position model. The record is from RNAcentral.
UACGAAGGGGGCUAGCGUUGCUCGGAAUCACCGGGCGUAAAGGGUGCGUAGGCGGGGCUUUAAGUCAGGGGGGAAAUCCUGGAGCUCAACUCCAGAACUGCCUUUGAUACUGAAGAUCUUGAGUUCGGGAGAGGUGAGUGGAACUGCGAGUGUAGAGGUGAAAUUCGUAGAUAUUCGCAAGAACACCAGUGGCGAAGGCGGCUCACUGGCCCGAUACUGACGCUGAGGCACGAAAGCGUGGGGAGCAAACAGG